UCUGAGGCCUAACGGCAACUAUAACAACUUUCAACAACGGAUCUCUUGGCUCUGGCAUCGAUGAAGAACGCAGCGAAAUGCGAUAAGUAUUGUGAAUUGCAGAAUCCAGUGAAUCAUCGAAUCUUU
RNAcentral lists this ribosomal RNA (126 nucleotides) under uncultured Glomus. RNAcentral's name for it is "5.8S ribosomal RNA". The stretch from base 26 to 126 matches the Rfam family "5.8S ribosomal RNA", at positions 1 to 101 of the family's 154-position model. From Rfam's summary of the family: 5.8S ribosomal RNA (5.8S rRNA) is a component of the large subunit of the eukaryotic ribosome. It is transcribed by RNA polymerase I as part of the 45S precursor that also contains 18S and 28S rRNA. Lineage: Eukaryota; Fungi; Glomeromycota; Glomeromycetes; Glomerales; Glomeraceae. The record is from RNAcentral.